CCUACGGGUGGCAGCAGUGAGGAAUAUUGGUCAAUGGGCGCGAGCCUGAACCAGCCAAGUAGCGUGAAGGAAGACGGCCCUACGGGUUGUAAACUUCGUUUAUAAAGGAAUAAAGUGAGGCACGUGUGCCUUGUUGUAUGUACCUUAUGAAUAAGGAUCGGCUAACUCCGGGCCAGCAGCCGCGGUAAUCCUGAGGAUCCGAGCGUUAUCCGGAUUUAUUGGGUUUAAAGGGGGCGUAGAUGGGUUGUUAAGUCAGUUGUCAAAGUUUGCGGCUCAACCGUAAAAUUGCACUUGAUACUGGCAGCCUUGAGUACAGUUGAGGUAGGCGGAAUGCGUGGUGUAGCGGU
Molecule: ribosomal RNA, 347 nt
Filed under: uncultured bacterium
Lineage: Bacteria
Description: partial 16S ribosomal RNA
Rfam family: Bacterial small subunit ribosomal RNA
Source: RNAcentral